This 253-nucleotide ribosomal RNA is filed under the name uncultured bacterium. RNAcentral's name for it is "partial 16S ribosomal RNA". It matches the Rfam family "Bacterial small subunit ribosomal RNA", at positions 524 to 776 of the family's 1533-position model. The record is from RNAcentral.
CACGGGGGGAGCAAGCGUUGUUCGGAUUCAUUGGGCGUAAAGAGCUCGUAGGUGGCUUUGUAAGUCGGAGGUGAAAUCCCACGGCUCAACCGUGGACACGCCUUCGAUACUGUGAAGCUUGAGGCUGGGAGAGGGAAUCGGAAUUCCUGGUGUAGCGGUGAAAUGCGUAGAUAUCAGGAGGAACACCGGUGGCGAAGGCGGGUCUCUGGGCCGAUACUGACGCUGAGGAGCGAAAGCGUGGGGAGCGAACAGG